RNAcentral lists this ribosomal RNA (608 nucleotides) under uncultured bacterium. RNAcentral's name for it is "bacterial SSU rRNA". It matches the Rfam family "Bacterial small subunit ribosomal RNA", at positions 331 to 929 of the family's 1533-position model. The record is from RNAcentral.
CCAGACUCCUACGGGAGGCAGCAGUAGGGAAUCUUCGGCAAUGGGGGGAACCCUGACCGAGCAACGCCGCGUGAGUGAAGAAGGUUUUCGGAUCGUAAAGCUCUGUUGUUAAGGAAGAACGAGUGUGAGAAUGGAAAGUUCAUACUGUGACGGUACUUAACCAGAAAGGGACGGCUAACUACGUGCCAGCAGCCGCGGUAAUACGUAGGUCCCGAGCGUUGUCCGGAUUUAUUGGGCGUAAAGCGAGCGCAGGCGGUUAGAUAAGUCUGAAGUUAAAGGCAGUGGCUCAACCAUUGUAGGCUUUGGAAACUGUUUAACUUGAGUGCAGAAGGGGAGAGUGGAAUUCCAUGUGUAGCGGUGAAAUGCGUAGAUAUAUGGAGGAACACCGGUGGCGAAAGCGGCUCUCUGGUCUGUAACUGACGCUGAGGCUCGAAAGCGUGGGGAGCGAACAGGAUUAGAUACCCUGGUAGUCCACGCCGUAAACGAUGAGUGCUAGGUGUUAGGUCCUUUCCGGGACUUAGUGCCGCAGCUAACGCAUUAAGCACUCCGCCUGGGGAGUACGACCGCAAGGUUGAAACUCAAAGGAAUUGACGGGGGCCCCGCACAAG